AGUAGUUUGAUCAUGGCUCAGGACGAACGCUGGCGGCGUGCUUAACACAUGCAAGUCGAACGGAAAGGCCCCCUUGUGGGGUACUCGAGUGGCGAACGGGUGAGUAACACGUGAGUAACCUACCCUUGACUUUGGGAUAACUUCAGGAAACUGGGGCUAAUACCGGAUAGGAGCUCCUGCUGCAUGGUGGGGGUUGGAAAGUUUCGGCGGUUGGGGAUGGACUCGCGGCUUAUCAGCUUGUUGGUGGGGUAGUGGCUCACCAAGGCUUUGACGGGUAGCCGGCCUGAGAGGGUGACCGGCCACAUUGGGACUGAGAUACGGCCCAGUCUCCUACGGGAGGCAGCAGUGGGGAAUAUUGCACAAUGGGCGGAAGCCUGAUGCAGCAACGCCGCGUGCGGGAUGACGGCCUUCGGGUUGUAAACCGCUUUCGCCUGUGACGAAGCGUGAGUGACGGUAAUGGGUAAAGAAGCACCGGCUAACUACGUG
Molecule: ribosomal RNA, 486 nt
Filed under: uncultured bacterium
Lineage: Bacteria
Description: bacterial SSU rRNA
Rfam family: Bacterial small subunit ribosomal RNA
Source: RNAcentral